This 482-nucleotide ribosomal RNA is filed under the name uncultured bacterium. Its description in RNAcentral is "partial 16S ribosomal RNA". It matches the Rfam family "Bacterial small subunit ribosomal RNA", at positions 28 to 507 of the family's 1533-position model. The record is from RNAcentral.
GACGAACGCUGGCGGCGUGCUUAACACAUGCAAGUCGAACGCUGAAGCUCAGCUUGCUGGGUGGAUGAGUGGCGAACGGGUGAGUAACACGUGAGUAACCUGCCCUCUUCUUUGGGAUAACGCCCGGAAACGGGUGCUAAUACUGGAUAUUCACUGAUUCUCGCAUGGGGGUUGGUGGAAAGGUUUUUUCUGGUGGGGGAUGGGCUCGCGGCCUAUCAGCUUGUUGGUGGGGUGAUGGCCUACCAAGGCUUUGACGGGUAGCCGGCCUGAGAGGGUGACCGGUCACAUUGGGACUGAGAUACGGCCCAGACUCCUACGGGAGGCAGCAGUGGGGAAUAUUGCACAAUGGGCGAAAGCCUGAUACAGCGACGCCGCGUGAGGGAUGGAGGCCUUCGGGUUGUAAACCUCUUUCGCUCAUGGUCAAGCCGCAGCUUUGGGUUGUGGUGAGGGUAGUGGGUAAAGAAGCGCCGGCUAACUACGUG